GAUGAACGCUGGCGGCGUGCUUAACACAUGCGAGUCGAACGGGAAACCUUUUAUUGAAGCUUCGGCAGAUUUAGCUGGUUUCUAGUGGCGGACGGGUGAGUAACGCGUGGGUAACCUGCCUUAUACAGGGGGAUAACAGUCAGAAAUGGCUGCUAAUACCGCAUAAGCGCACAGAGCUGCAUGGCUCAGUGUGAAAAACUCCGGUGGUAUAAGAUGGACCCGCGUUGGAUUAGCUGGUUGGUGGGGUAACGGCCCACCAAGGCGACGAUCCAUAGCCGGCCUGAGAGGGUGAACGGCCACAUUGGGACUGAGACACGGCCCAGACUCCUACGGGAGGCAGCAGUGGGGAAUAUUGCACAAUGGGGGAAACCCUGAUGCAGCGACGCCGCGUGAAGGAAGAAGUAUCUCGGUAUGUAAACUUCUAUCAGCAGGGAAGAUAAUGACGGUACCUGACGAAGAAGCCCCGGCUAACUACGUG
RNAcentral lists this ribosomal RNA (478 nucleotides) under uncultured bacterium. Its description in RNAcentral is "partial 16S ribosomal RNA". It matches the Rfam family "Bacterial small subunit ribosomal RNA", at positions 28 to 507 of the family's 1533-position model. The record is from RNAcentral.